Molecule: ribosomal RNA, 425 nt
Filed under: uncultured bacterium
Lineage: Bacteria
Description: bacterial SSU rRNA
Rfam family: Bacterial small subunit ribosomal RNA
Source: RNAcentral
GGGGAAUAUUGCGCAAUGGGCGAAAGCCUGACGCAGCGACGCCGCGUGAGGGAUGAAGGUCCUCGGAUCGUAAACCUCUGUCAGGAGGGAAGAACCGCCACGGUGCUAAUCAGCCGUGGUCUGACGGUACCUCCAAAGGAAGCACCGGCUAACUCCGUGCCAGCAGCCGCGGUAAUACGGAGGGUGCGAGCGUUAAUCGGAAUCACUGGGCGUAAAGCGCACGUAGGCUGCUUGGUAAGUCAGGGGUGAAAGCCCGCGGCUCAACCGCGGAAUUGCCUUUGAUACUGCCGAGCUAGAGUCCGGGAGAGGGUAGUGGAAUUCCAGGUGUAGGAGUGAAAUCCGUAGAGAUCUGGAGGAACAUCAGUGGCGAAGGCGACUACCUGGACCGGUACUGACGCUGAGGUGCGAAAGCGUGGGGAGCAAAC